GUAGAAGUACACUUAUAUUUCAGUAUUCAAUGAUACUCUGUUCAUGGUGACGAAAUUCACACUAGUAAUCAAUGCUGGAAAUUCCUUAGAGUCAGUCCAACACAUGCUAUUGUAUUUAAUAAUUGGAUUGUGUAUUCAAGGUCAUGCGCUCUUCAUCAUAUGCAGAUACUUACAGAGAAAUUAAACCACCACAAUAAUAUAACUACAAUAUUGUAUGUUUUUCCUGGGGCACAUGGAGCAAAAUGAGAAAAAACAAUCAUAUGGCUCUCAAAUGGAUUUUCCUUCACACGCAGUCAAAAUAUGUCACCGCUCAUUUUUGUGCAAGUUUUUCAAGUUCUGAAGAUUAUGAGUUGAGAAGAAAUGACAGCAGUGGCCUUGGAAAUUGGUUGGAAGACAUGCAAAGAUGUGGUGAUGAUGCCACACCCUGCUGAAAGUCCUCCCCAUCACAGUCUCCAUGACCUUUUGCCUUACUUAAGAUGCUGCCCUGAUGGAUGCAGCUGGAAGCCAUCCCAUGCAAAUGACAUUACAGGACCAAAUGGCAGCCACCACCCCAGCUUUGCCUCUAUGGCAAUGGUUACCCGCACUGCACAACUACUGAAGUGUUUCUGAUCAGAAUCUAGGCAGCAAACACACAGUCAUUUAGACUCAGCUGUACAGUUUAAUCUUGGCAAGGGACUGACGAGGAAAAACAUAACCAUAGCAAGUCUAUCUUAUCUCCCACACUUAAACAAACUCAGUCAACUUCCAGGCAAAUGUUGCAGUGAACUGUGGUUUUUUACACUUGAAACAUUAACUACUGCAUGAGAGCAGAUACUGGACUGGAAAAAAAAAAAAAAAAAGAAAAAAAAACCACAAAGCCAAUACUUAGUUCUAGAAGUCUUU
RNAcentral lists this long non-coding RNA (882 nucleotides) under Gallus gallus (chicken). RNAcentral describes it as "lncRNA (ENSGALG00010021442.1)". Lineage: Eukaryota; Metazoa; Chordata; Aves; Galliformes; Phasianidae. The record is from RNAcentral.